AACUAUUUAAACUAUCUGGAAAUCAAAUUUCACACAUUUUCGAUAUUGCUCUCUUGUCCAUCAAGUAAAUAGAAAAAUGAAUGAUUAGAACUGAAUAUCCUUCAAAAAGUGAUGAUACAAUUUUUUUAUUUGAGAUCUAGAGUCUAGAUCUUAUUUUAAAUAGUGUAAAGAAUUGUUUAACAAAAAUUUAGUUGAUUUGAACUCUUCUAUACCGUUAAAGGAGCAAACGCACCAUAUCGGCCAUUAAAAUUAUAGAUUUUGUGACUCUUUGAUCGUUCAGUUAGUGAUGCCAAAAAAUUUUGAAAUUUGAUUUCUAGAUAAUUUAAAUAGUCUAGAUCAUGUUCAACGGUGCCGAUCGUCGAUUUAGAAGCCCUAUUAUUAAAAACAAAUCAGUAGUAAACCGAGCAGUUUACUACCGAUAGUAGCCCAGUCAAGCUCUAUAUAAUAGAAUACAUAAAUUGACAAUCCCAUCGCAUC
This 477-nucleotide long non-coding RNA is filed under the name Ananas comosus (pineapple). RNAcentral's name for it is "long non-coding RNA (ACOM_LNC038345)". Lineage: Eukaryota; Viridiplantae; Streptophyta; Magnoliopsida; Poales; Bromeliaceae. The record is from RNAcentral.